RNAcentral lists this ribosomal RNA (279 nucleotides) under uncultured bacterium. Its description in RNAcentral is "partial 16S ribosomal RNA". It matches the Rfam family "Bacterial small subunit ribosomal RNA", at positions 506 to 784 of the family's 1533-position model. The record is from RNAcentral.
UGCCAGCCGCCGCGGUAAUACGAAGGGUGCUAGCGUUGUUCGGAAUUACUGGGCUUAAAGGGUGCGUAGGCGGUGCGGUAAGUGAGGUGUGAAAGCCCACGGCUCAACCGUGGAAUUGCGCUUCAUACUGCCGUGCUAGAGGGAGACAGAGGUAAGCGGAACUGAUGGUGGAGCGGUGAAAUGCGUUGAUAUUAUCAGGAACACCGGUGGCGAAAGCGGCUUACUGGGUCUCUUCUGACGCUGAGGCACGAAAGCUAGGGUAGCGAACGGGAUUAGAUA